Molecule: ribosomal RNA, 508 nt
Filed under: uncultured bacterium
Lineage: Bacteria
Description: partial 16S ribosomal RNA
Rfam family: Bacterial small subunit ribosomal RNA
Source: RNAcentral
GACGAACGCUGGCGGCGUGCCUAAUACAUGCAAGUCGAACGCUUCUUUCCUCCCGAGUGCUUGCACUCAUUUGGAAAGAGGAGUGGCGGACGGGUGAGGAACACGUGGGUAACCUACCCAUCAGAGGGGGAUAACACUUGGAAACAGGUGCUAAUACCGCAUAACAGUUUAUGCCGCAUGGCAUAAGAGUGAAAGGCGCUUUCGGGGGUCGCUGACGGAUGGACCGGCGGUGCAUUAGCUAGUUGGUGAGGUAACGGCUCACCAAGGCCACGAUGCAUAGCCGACCUGAGAGGGUGAUCGGCCACACUGGAACUGAGACACGGCCCAGACUCCUACGGGAGGCAGCAGUAGGGAAUCUUCGGCAAUGGACGAAAGUCUGACCGAGCAACGCCGCGUGAGUGAAGAAGGUUUUCGGAUCGUAAAACUCUGUUGUUAGGGAAGAACAAGGACGUUAGUAACUGAACGUCCCCUGACGGUAUCUAACCAGAAAGCCACGGCUAACUACGUG